Molecule: long non-coding RNA, 2252 nt
Filed under: Triticum aestivum (bread wheat)
Lineage: Eukaryota; Viridiplantae; Streptophyta; Magnoliopsida; Poales; Poaceae
Description: long non-coding RNA (TAES_LNC024158)
Source: RNAcentral
UCCAUGUUGAGAAAAGAACAUUGAAAUGUUUACAAAAUAUGAACAGUACAAACAUUCAAUAUUUUGUAACUUUACAUAACACUCGCUCAAUAUAGAUUGUGCAUCUAUAUUUAAACUUAGAAUGGGUCCACUCAUAAAUAUUAUUUAUAUCACCUAGACAACACAAUAUGAAUUGGUUUAGUAAGUAAUAAAGGGAUAAUGGGGACAUAAGAAGAUAGCUGUUGAUACCUUUCAACAUCAUGUCAAUAUUCUACAUCUUCCAUGCAGCAAUAAUGCAUUAUAGUGUUUAUGUUGAGCAUAAGGCAGUGGGGCUAUUAGCCAUUUGCUGAAGUUACCCACAUGAUCUGAAUCCACUUCAGAAGUUAUUUGGUUUGAUGGUUGUCUCAGUGAUCACACAUAUAAUAAUUCCUUGGAGUUCCUUCCAAUUCACCACCUACUAUGUACUUCUGCACACAAAAAACAUGGUAAGCAUGAAAAGACAUGAGAAAGAAAGAAAAGAUUAAACAUCAAGGAUAAUAGACUAACAUAACUGCUACAUCACUUAUCUUAUUUUUAAUUCAGUAAUUUUGGUACAAAACAUUGGUGGAUCAACCUUAGUUCAUCAAAAGUAAUUGUCCUAUUGUUAAGAAGUGCCAAGGUAUUCGAUACUUUCUCUAUUAAGCCCAUAAUAUUUUCCUUUGCGCUGCAAUAACCUGAAUAUAGCAUAAGAAUUGAGAAAAACUAUGAUGAAAUGUACCCCUCUGCCUAUUGUUAAGGAACAUAGGUAGUAGAUCCUAGUGUCAAGCAAGAAUAAAAAAUAACCAAAGCUUGGGAGGGACUCUCUUUAAAUUAGACGCAACAUCAUUGGCAUAAGAAAGGUUAAGUUUUAUCAUCAAAUUGUGGUCCGACUGUCAGGAAGAAGAAGAAAAGAGAUCCAUAAGUUUGUGUGGAACUGCCCUUAAAUUAGACAUGUUCCUCUUGUUUGUUUUCAAUCAUUUAACAAAAACUUGGCAAGUCACGUCAUUGCAUCAAGUUCCAUUCGACUAACUGAAAUAAAAAUUAUUAAGCAUGAUCCGUUUACCAGUUGAACUGUUAGAAUGAAUAAUCAAACCAUGCUAACAUCAAUAACAAAAUAAAAGCAUAGUGGUGAUUUUCGUACCAGGAAAAAAUUACCAUGGAGAAUAAUUUUGGUUGUUUGUCUUGUCGAUCAACCAACCAUGAAGUUAUGCCAAUUUAAGAGGAGAGAAUGGAACUAAGUCAAAAUGUAGUCAUUAGAUUUCAAAAAGAACAUGAUCCCUUUAUUUUAUCAUUUAGUUAAAUAUAUGAUUUGGAGGAAUUUAAGCCUCUCAGCACUGUGAGUACCAGGAAUAUAAAAAUAUGCAUCUCAUUAGUUAUUUGCCAACAUACAUUUGUAUGUGUAGAUAGUUGUGACAAUAUGAAGGUUCUAGUACUCGUCUUAAUGGUCUAGACUCUGGAAUAUCUCAAGCUAAGAGGGAAGGUAGGCAAAUACUCUACUUUCAGCGGUAAGCAUAUAUUAGGAAUUUAUAAAAAAGCAUAUAUUAGAAAAUCAAAGCUACUCUGCAUAGAAGUAACCUACUUUCUUCGUGGACAAUCCGGACAUAGGUGCCAUCACACGAACACAUAUAUGAGAAAAUCAUAUUCUGUCUAGUAGUAAACUACUUUCCUUGUGGACAUGGUGCCCAUCAUACGAAGACACAACUACGUACAAAUCAAUAGCAACAUGUGGUACUAUGCUUAUUUCUUAAGCGAGGAGAAGGUCGACCAUAUCAUCCCAAUAGUAGUUCUAGUAAGCUUACAAAAGAGAAACCAAACAGAGAAGAACACCGCAAGUUAGGGACAACAAUAGAAAAUACAACACAAGUACACAAGCAUGACAAAAAUGAUCUACCAAUGAGUUACCUGAGCCUCAAAGUGGUUGCUACCCUAACUUUAUCGACAACUCCAAGAUGACCUGAAAGAGGCAAUUCAUGAUUAGAUGUUGUGCAGGCAGGGUAAGAGAGGAUGACACAGCAGAGGGGAAGAGAGGAGUUUCUACUCGGUGGUGUUUAGAGGUAGGGGAGAGGAGAUGGAGGUGGGUGUCACUCACGUGCAUCAGAUGAUAGUGAGGCCGAGGGCGGCGAGACCACGUCACGGGGAGGGGUGCAGGGAGUCCAGGUCGAAGAAGAUGCAAUCGAGGUCGCCGGAGAGUCGGAGAUUUGGAUUCGAUCGGUGUCGAAAUGAAUCAAGCGCGGAAAACCGACGACGAGAGGGGC